RNAcentral lists this ribosomal RNA (488 nucleotides) under uncultured crenarchaeote. RNAcentral describes it as "bacterial SSU rRNA". It matches the Rfam family "Archaeal small subunit ribosomal RNA", at positions 852 to 1338 of the family's 1478-position model. Lineage: Archaea; Thermoproteati; Thermoproteota. The record is from RNAcentral.
AAACUCAAAGGAAUUGGCGGGGGAGCACCACAAGGGGUGAAGCCUGCGGUUCAAUUGGAGUCAACGCCAGGAAACUUACCAGGGGAGACAGCAGGUUGAGGGUCAGGCUGAAGACCUUACCUGACGAGCUGAGAGGAGGUGCAUGGCCGUCGCCAGCUCGUGCCGUGAGGCGUCCUGUUAAGUCAGGCAACGAGCGAGACCCCCACCGGUAAUUGCUAUUUGGGGUCGAAAGAUCCCAAAGGCUAGUUACCGGGACUGCCGUCGCUAAGACGGAGGAAGGAGGGGGCCACGGCAGGUCAGUAUGCCCCGAAACCCCUGGGCCACACGCGGGCUGCAAUGGUAGGGACAAUGGGUUCCAACCUCGAAAGAGGAAGGCAAUCCUCAAACCCUACCCCAGUUGUGAUUGAGGGCUGUAACCCGCCCUCAUGAAUAUGGAAUCCCUAGUAACCGCGUGUCAUCACCGCGCGGUGAAUACGUCCCUGCUCCUU